This 245-nucleotide ribosomal RNA is filed under the name Klebsiella pneumoniae. RNAcentral describes it as "partial 23S ribosomal RNA". It matches the Rfam family "Bacterial large subunit ribosomal RNA", at positions 1523 to 1765 of the family's 2925-position model. Lineage: Bacteria; Pseudomonadati; Pseudomonadota; Gammaproteobacteria; Enterobacterales; Enterobacteriaceae. The record is from RNAcentral.
GGCUGAUUGUCCAGGCAAAUCCGGAUAAUCAAGGCUGAGGUGUGAUGACGAGGCACUACGGUGCUGAAGUAACAAAUGCCCUGCUUCCAGGAAAAGCCUCUAAGCAUCAGGUAACAUUAAAUCGUACCCCAAACCGACACAGGUGGUCAGGUAGAGAAUACCAAGGCGCUUGAGAGAACUCGGGUGAAGUAACUAGGCAAAAUGGUGCCGUAACUUCGGGAGAAGGCACGCUGGUGUGUAGGUGA